CAAAAAAUGUUUUGUAUAGCAAUCAUCAAACAUUGAAAUCAAUUUAAAAUUCAUGGCUGCAGAUGAGAAAAAUACUGAUUUUACAAUUCUAAAGGAUUUCAUAGAUAAAUUUUAUAUGAUGAUAUGAAGUCCACUUUGGGACGCCAGUGAGAAGAUGCGACAAUCAUUCAAUUACAGUGGAAGCGUGUAAUAAAGUAAAUGUGAAACAUGUGGGGAGCUGCAGCUGAAAUUAUUAAAAAUCUGAACAAGACGAGGAAAAUCCAAAAUGGAAGCCGGGCAUUUAUGACAGAGGGACAAGGUUAGGCGUUCUGGUCCACAAGCUAUCGUGUGUCUGAUUUGACCCUAAUCAGUAUAGAGAAAAAUAUUUAAGAAAAAUACAGUGGCAAGUAGUAGUUAGAGAAAAGGCUGGAGAGGUUUAGUUCACUGUUGAGAAUGAAUAAUGCUAUGUAAUUCAAAAGUGGUAAAGUGGUCCUGCGGGGAAUGAUUAUUUUUGUGUUUUAAAAAUAUAAAAAUAUUUUAUUUAAAUGUUUGUUAGGGAAUUUGUCGGGAAAAUUGCGCUAUAAAUCCCUGCGACCGUCUUUUUAGUUCAUUUUUUCUUUCAAUAUUUCACAGCUCUCUUCUUCUUUUUCGUUCUCUUAAUUGCUUCAGAUCUCUUGAUUUUGCUUGUAAUCUCUAGUUCAAUCUUCAGCAAAUUAAAAGAAAUACGUAGAAUGAAAUCAACUGUUCGUCACUCACAUAUGGUCGCAGCUAGUUCUUCUAGCAGCGAGGAUGACAUGUCCUUAGGUGUUGAUCAAGAAGAGGCACCUGCGCCACCUAUUGAUGCUGCCUCUUCCAGCACGGUUUCAUAGUGCAAAGGCGGCAUGCCUUCACAGCGGAAUCAUUUCACCCGCAAGUACGAGGCAUAGUAAAGGAUGACCUUUCAAUGUUCACAAACAUUGAGGCCGCCCAAGUAAUAGUAUUGAUGUUUAAAUCAUUGAUGGAGAUUCCAUUAUUUCAAUGGAGUCAGGUAUCCAGACAUCCUGAAUGGAUACCACAUAUUGAUGCAUGGUUUGACAAAUUUGAGCGCGCAUGAUAAUGUUGUGAGGAGGGUGUGGGAAAAUCACGCGGCAACUAGGUUGCGUGAUUUUUGGUAUGAAGCACAAAAAAAUACCAAAAAAACGCGAGAGAUUGAGGUCUUUAAGGCUAGAACGACAAGAAGGUUUGGAGGGAUUUCAAACUGCUACACAUCCCGGAAGAUAUUUGGCUGCAAUAUCUUGAGCACGUGACGUCUAAGCGGUUCACACGACGCUUACAGUCCGGUGCUGGCAACCGGAACCAACAAAUUCAUGAUUCGCUGACAACGCACAUCGGCGGCUCCGUUCCGUUUGCUGCACAUGCAAAAUGGAUGGCUACGUCUCUUGAACAUGAGCCGAGCUCAAUGGAGUUGUUUGUAGAGAUGCACGUGCGGAGUAAAGACCGCCAAAAGGGGGUGCAACAGUUCGUUGACAAUCGCGCUCAACACUUUAUGGUAUGUUCAUUCAACCAUUUUAUUUCGUAAGUUAUUGGGAGGGGCUGUGGUUUUGAUUUGCAAUUGAAGAGGAACAGGAAGGAUAAGAGAAUAGGGUUGAUGUCAGUUAUAACACUCUAAAAUUUUCCAAUGAAAUAUUGCAUUGGAAAAUACCGUCGAUAAAUCCAUUUGAUAUGAUGACAUGUCAUAUUAACAACGUAAUCACCGACAUACUAUUUUUUUUACUUAUUUUUAUUAUUUUAUUGUAUUUGUGAUUCCGUCAUUAAUUACCAACAUAAUUUUUUCUGUUGGUAAUUAAGUUGGAAAUCAUUGACAUAAAUAUUACAUCUCUAUUAUAAUCGGACAUUACCGAUGAAAUAUAUUAUUUCAUCAGCAAUUCUAUUGCUAUUUUACAAUUUUAUGGUAGUGAAUUUGUGGCUUAUAAUUA
This is a long non-coding RNA of Populus trichocarpa (black cottonwood), 1934 nucleotides long. RefSeq lists it as uncharacterized. Lineage: Eukaryota; Viridiplantae; Streptophyta; Magnoliopsida; Malpighiales; Salicaceae. The transcript is spliced from 6 exons. The record is from RefSeq and is a predicted model, not a curated record.